GUCUACACCCAUACCACCUUGCAUGUGUCCGAUCUCAUCUGAUCUCGGAAGCUAAAAGAAAUGGAGCACUUAACCAAUUUAUAUAAAAAUUUCCAGAUUUAGGUC
RNAcentral lists this ribosomal RNA (105 nucleotides) under Spermophilus dauricus (Daurian ground squirrel). Lineage: Eukaryota; Metazoa; Chordata; Mammalia; Rodentia; Sciuridae. The record is from RNAcentral.